Molecule: ribosomal RNA, 467 nt
Filed under: uncultured bacterium
Lineage: Bacteria
Description: partial 16S ribosomal RNA
Rfam family: Bacterial small subunit ribosomal RNA
Source: RNAcentral
GAUGAACGCUGGCGGCGUGCUUAACACAUGCAAGUCGAACGGAAAGGCCCAAGCUUGCUUGGGUACUCGAGUGGCGAACGGGUGAGUAACACGUGGGUGAUCUGCCCUGCACUUCGGGAUAAGCCUUGGAAACUGGGUCUAAUACUGGAUAGGACCACUUCUUGGAUGUUGUGGUGGAAAGUUUUUUCGGUGUGGGAUGAGCUCGCGGCCUAUCAGCUUGUUGGUGGGGUAAUGGCCUACCAAGGCGUCGACGGGUAGCCGGCCUGGGAGGGUGUACGGCCACAUUGGGACUGAGAUACGGCCCAGACUCCUACGGGAGGCAGCAGUGGGGAAUAUUGCACAAUGGGCGCAAGCCUGAUGCAGCGACGCCGCGUGGGGGAUGACGGCCUUCGGGUUGUAAACUCCUUUCGCUAGGGACGAAGCGUUUUGUGACGGUACCUGGAGAAGAAGCACCGGCUAACUACGUG